RNAcentral lists this transfer RNA (52 nucleotides) under Sicarius jequitinhonha. Its description in RNAcentral is "tRNA-Leu". The record is from RNAcentral. Lineage: Eukaryota; Metazoa; Arthropoda; Arachnida; Araneae; Sicariidae.
AUCCUUAUACUAGCAGAUAAAUGCAAUAGACUUAGAUUCUACUCAUCCUAAC